UGGCGGCGUGCCUAAUACAUGCAAGUCGAGCGAUAAGUUUGCUAUUUAUACUUCGGUAAAUUUAGCAAGCGGAGAGCGGCGGACGGGUGAGUAACGCGUAGGCAACCUACCUUGUACAGAGGGAUAGCCGUUGGAAACGACGAUUAAAACCUCAUAAUACCAUCAUUUCACAUGGAAAGAUGGUCAAAGUUUUAUCGGUACAAGAUGGGCCUGCGUCUGAUAGUUAGUUGGUGAGGUAGCGGCUCACCAAGGCAGUGAUCAGUAGCCGACCUGAGAGGGUGAUCGGCCACAUUGGAACUGAGACACGGUCCAAACUUCUACGGAAGGCAGCAGUAUGGAAUCUUGCACAAUGGGCGAAAGCCUGAUGCAGAACGCCGCGUGAAGGAUGAAGGGCCUAGGGUCGUAAACUUCUGUUCUUGGGGAAGAUAAUGACGGUACCCAAGGAGCAAGCCCCGGCUAACUACGU
RNAcentral lists this ribosomal RNA (466 nucleotides) under uncultured bacterium. RNAcentral describes it as "bacterial SSU rRNA". It matches the Rfam family "Bacterial small subunit ribosomal RNA", at positions 37 to 506 of the family's 1533-position model. The record is from RNAcentral.